This 253-nucleotide ribosomal RNA is filed under the name uncultured bacterium. Its description in RNAcentral is "partial 16S ribosomal RNA". It matches the Rfam family "Bacterial small subunit ribosomal RNA", at positions 524 to 776 of the family's 1533-position model. The record is from RNAcentral.
GACAGAGGAUGCAAGCGUUAUCCGGAAUUAUUGGGCGUAAAGAGCUUGUAGGCGGUUUGUCGCGUCUGCUGUGAAAUUUCGGGGCUCAACCCCGAACUUGCAGUGGGUACGGGCAGACUAGAGUGUGGUAGGGGAGACUGGAAUUCCUGGUGUAGCGGUGAAAUGCGCAGAUAUCAGGAGGAACACCGAUGGCGAAGGCAGGUCUCUGGGCCACUACUGACGCUGAGAAGCGAAAGCAUGGGGAGCGAACAGG